GGUAGCGGGAAGAAGCGUUGCUWCUUUGCCGACGAGUGGCGGACGGGUGAGUAAUGUCUGGGGAUCUGCCCGAUGGAGGGGGAUAACCACUGGAAACGGUGGCUAAUACCGCAUAACGUCGCAAGACCAAAGUGGGGGACCUUCGGGCCUCACACCAUCGGAUGAACCCAGAUGGGAUUAGCUAGUAGGKGGGGUAACGGCUCACCUAGGCGACGAUCCCUAGCUGGUCUGAGAGGAUGACCAGCCACACUGGAACUGAGACACGGUCCAGACUCCUACGGGAGGCAGCAGUGGGGAAUAUUGCACAAUGGGCGCAAGCCUGAUGCAGCCAUGCCGCGUGUAUGAAGAAGGCCUUCGGGUUGUAAAGUACUUUCAGCGGGGAGGAAGGCGAUGCGGUUAAUAACCGCGUCGAUUGACGUUACCCGCAGAAGAAGCACCGGCUAACUCCGUGCCAGCAGCCGCGGUAAUACGGAGGGUGCAAGCGUUAAUCGGAAUUACUGGGCGUAAAGCGCACGCAGGCGGUCUGUUAAGUCAGAUGUGAAAUCCCCGGGCUCAACCCGGGAACUGCAUUUGAAACUGGCAGGCUUGAGUCUCGUAGAGGGGGGUAGAAUUCCAGGUGUAGCGGUGAAAUGCGUAGAGAUCUGGAGGAAUACCGGUGGCG
Molecule: ribosomal RNA, 661 nt
Filed under: Mixta gaviniae
Lineage: Bacteria; Pseudomonadati; Pseudomonadota; Gammaproteobacteria; Enterobacterales; Erwiniaceae
Description: bacterial SSU rRNA
Source: RNAcentral